CACGUAGUUAGCCGGGGCUUCUUAGUCAGGUACCGUCAUUUUCUUCCCUGCUGAAAGGGCUUUACAUACCGGGGUACUUCUUCACCCACGCGGCAUUGCUGCAUCAGGGUUCCCCCCAUUGUGCAAUAUUCCCCACUGCUGCCUCCCGCAGGAGUCUGGGCCGUGUCUCAGUCCCAAUGUGGCCGUCCGCUCUCUCAAGCCGGCUACUGAUCGUUGCCUUGGUGGGCCGUUACCCCGCCAACAAGCUAAUCAGACGCGGGGCCAUCCUGUACCACCGGAGUUUUCCCUGCACCGCCAUGCGGCAGUGCAGGGUUAUGCGGUAUUAGCAGCCAUUUCUGGCUGUUGUCCCCCGGUACAGGGCAGGUUCCCCACGCGUUACUCACCCGUCCGCCACUAGGUUUAUACGGCUUCCCUCCGGAGAGUUCCGCUAUAUAAACCCCGUUCGACUUGCAUGUGUUAGGCAUGCCGCCAGCGUUUAUCCUGAGCCAGGAUCAAACUCU
RNAcentral lists this ribosomal RNA (500 nucleotides) under uncultured Lachnospiraceae bacterium. RNAcentral describes it as "partial 16S ribosomal RNA". The record is from RNAcentral. Lineage: Bacteria; Bacillati; Bacillota; Clostridia; Lachnospirales; Lachnospiraceae.